Molecule: ribosomal RNA, 466 nt
Filed under: uncultured bacterium
Lineage: Bacteria
Description: partial 16S ribosomal RNA
Rfam family: Bacterial small subunit ribosomal RNA
Source: RNAcentral
GAUGAACGCUGGCGGCGUGCUUAACACAUGCAAGUCGAACGAUGAAGCCCAGCUUGCUGGGUGGAUUAGUGGCGAACGGGUGAGUAACACGUGAGUAACCUGCCCUUAACUCUGGGAUAAGCCUGGGAAACUGGGUCUAAUACCGGAUAGGAGCGUCCACCGCAUGGUGGGUGUUGGAAAGAUUUAUCGGUUUUGGAUGGACUCGCGGCCUAUCAGCUUGUUGGUGAGGUAAUGGCUCACCAAGGCGACGACGGGUAGCCGGCCUGAGAGGGUGACCGGCCACACUGGGACUGAGAGACGGCCCAGACUCCUACGGGAGGCAGCAGUGGGGAAUAUUGCACAAUGGGCGCAAGCCUGAUGCAGCGACGCCGCGCGAGGGAUGACGGCCUUCGGGUUGUAAACCUCUUUCAGUAGGGAAGAAGCGAAAGUGACGGUACCUGCAGAAGAAGCACCGGCUAACUACGUG